UGUACACGCUGUGACUAGCAUAUCAAUAAGCGGAGGAAAAGAAACUAACAAGGAUUCCCCUAGUAACGGCGAGUGAAGCGGGAAGAGCUCAAAUUUGAAAUCUUAAAGGGUUUCCCUUUACGAGUUGUAGUUUAAAGAAGUGUUUUCUGUUGAGGUUUUGGUAAAAGUUCUUUGGAAUAGGAACAUCAUAGAGGGUGAGAAUCCCGUAUUUGACCUUUACUUUCAACUUUGUGAUACACUUUCAAAGAGUCGGAUUGUUUGGGAAUGCAGUCCAAAAUGGGUGGUAAAUUUCAUCUAAAGCUAAAUAUUGGCGAGAGACCGAUAGCGAACAAGUACCGUGAGGGAAAGAUGAAAAGAACUUUGAAAAGAGAGUUAAACAGUACGUGAAAUUGUCAAAAGGGAAGCGUUUGACACCAGUGUUGUUUUUCUGAAAAUCAAUUAAAGAACUGUUUAUGCUAAGCUGUUUAGACUUUAUCAGCUAACUGUUUAGUUUUGAGCUUUUCUUUAAUGCACUUUUCAGUUAACAAGUCAACAUCAAUUUCUUUUGCUGUAAAAAAGCUUGAGGAAGGUGGCUUGAGAUUCGUCUUAAGUGUUUAUAGCCUCUUGACUUCUGCAGUCGGAGAGAUUGAGGUCUGCAGCGUAGAUCCUUCGGGGUUAAAUAGCAUUUGUGCUAAGCUAUAGCAUUUUUAUAGACAACUUGUUGACUAUAUUUAGUCUUGUGGCUUACUCGCUUAUGCUAUUUUACCUACGCUUAGGAUGUUGAAGAUAUGCGCGACACG
This 779-nucleotide ribosomal RNA is filed under the name uncultured Neocallimastigales. RNAcentral describes it as "partial large subunit ribosomal RNA". It matches the Rfam family "Eukaryotic large subunit ribosomal RNA", at positions 22 to 644 of the family's 3401-position model. The record is from RNAcentral. Lineage: Eukaryota; Fungi; Neocallimastigomycota; Neocallimastigomycetes; Neocallimastigales.